RNAcentral lists this long non-coding RNA (454 nucleotides) under Equus caballus (horse). RNAcentral's name for it is "lncRNA (ENSECAG00000044022.1)". The record is from RNAcentral. Lineage: Eukaryota; Metazoa; Chordata; Mammalia; Perissodactyla; Equidae.
GGAGGGCAUCGUCAUGGUUAAUUUUAUGUAUCUACUGGCUGGGUCAUGGAACCCAAGUUUCCUAGAUAUUUGGUCAAAUAUCAUCCUCGAUGUUUCUGUGAAAGUAUCUUUCAGAUGAGGUUAACGUUUAGAUCAGUAGACCUUGAGAAAAGCACGCUGCCCUCCAUAAUGGGGGUAGGCUUCAUCCAGUCAGCUGAAGGCCUUAAGAGAAAAGAGACUGAUCUCUCUCCAAAAGAGGCAAAGACCGCCUCUGGACUCCAGCUGCAGCAUCAACUGUUCCCUGGGUUUCCAAGCCUAUGGACCUAUCCUGCGGGGUUUGGACUUGCCAUUCCUUAAACCCUUGAGGAUGGCGUGGUUUUACCACACAGAGCCUGUACUUCAGUGUCGCAGAAUCAGUUUUACCCUGGACUCCAAAUCUUGUCUUGUGAUCUAGGCAAGUUGGUCAACCUCCCUG